RNAcentral lists this unclassified non-coding RNA (568 nucleotides) under Hevea brasiliensis (rubber tree). The record is from RNAcentral. Lineage: Eukaryota; Viridiplantae; Streptophyta; Magnoliopsida; Malpighiales; Euphorbiaceae.
GAAAAUUGAUUGUGAUCCAAGUAUCUGGAAUACAAUCAAGGUUAGCUUAAAAAAACAAAAGAAACAAAUUUCUGUACAGUAAAACAUCAAAACAUUCCACAGUGAGCAAAAAUGCGCUGAUAUGUGUACUCCCACAUUUUCCCAACUCAAGGGGGCAGGGAGGAGUAAACAAUCCACCAAAUUAAUAGCACAGCAAGCAGAUUUGUUUUUAUUUUGCUAAGAACAGCCAUGGACAUUUUGAUGACCACAUAAAUGCAAGGUCAGAUAUAUAUAUAUAUGAAAGGGAAAAACAAAGAAUAAAAAAUUUGUAUCCUAGAUAUUCUCUAUAAUUUUAAAGAAGAGUGUCAUAUAACCAUGCAACAAUUCAUAUGAAUAUCAAGAACAGAACAUGAUGAUCAGUAAAAUCUCCUCAGAACCCUGGGCACGUAUUCACAUCAAUUUAUGAUGAUGUGAUCAGUUUGUGUAAAAAAUCCCAAACAUCUGCCAUUAAUCAUUAUUGAGUAUCCAAACUAAUGGGCAAAACAGGUUUACCUUAAAUAUUUGAAAGAAAAAGAUUAAAUGAAUCGUA